Molecule: ribosomal RNA, 3985 nt
Filed under: bacterium
Lineage: Bacteria
Description: 23S ribosomal RNA
Rfam family: Bacterial large subunit ribosomal RNA
Source: RNAcentral
GCGAGCGAACAUAAGGGUAGGUGGUGGAUGCCUUGACACUGUAUGGCGAUGAAGGACGUAGCGUAACUGCGAUAAGCCUCGGGUAGGUGUGUAGCAACCAAUGAUCCGGGGAUUUCCGAAUGGGGCAACCCUGCCGAGCAAACCUCGGCAACCAGAUACUGUAUAGUAUCUGGAGCGCACCUGGGGAACUGAAACAUCUAAGUACCCAGAGGAAUAGAAACUAAACAAAGUAUUCCCCAAUUAGCGGCGAGUGAAAGGGGAGAAGCCUAAACCUUGUCCCUUGGACAAGGAAAUUCUAAAUUCUAAAUCCUAAAUCCUAAAUAAACACGAAAAUCUCAAAUCUUAAGCUCUAAGCGCGACGCGUUUAGAAUUUUAGAAAUUUGAAUUUUGAAUUUGUUUAGAGUUUAGAGUUUAGAGCUUAGGAUUUCCUCGCCCAGGGGGCGAGGUGUUGCAAGACUGAAACAUUCUCAUUUUCACCUAGGUCUUCGGACCAAGGUGAAAAAGCAGAAGGUUGGUUAUAAAUCGAUGUGUUAGCUGAAGUCGCUGGAAAGCGACCCCAGAGACGGUGAUAGGCCGGUAAGCGAAAAUAUAUCGACCAACUCGUUUUUGUUCUUAAGUACCUCAAGGCAAGAUAACCUUGAGGGAAUCCGGGAGUACUAUCUCCUAAGGCUAAAUACAUGCAGUGAUCGAUAGUGAACUAGUACCGUGAGGGAAAGGUGAAAAGUAGCCCAGUAAGGGCGAUGAAAUAAUACCUGAAACCACCUACUUACAAGCACACGGAGCUUUACCGUGCUUUGCACGGAAACUCGAAGCACGAAUAUCGAAAUUCGAAACAAAUUCGAAUGUUCAAAAUUCAAAUAACCGAAACACAGCGUUUUGAAUUUUUGUCAUUUGGAUUUUGUUCGCCAGCUGGCGAAUUGUUUCGAAUUUCGGAUUUAGAAUUUCGAAUUUCCGCGCAGAGCGCGGCGAGUGACGUGGUGCCUAUUGAAGAAUGAGCCAGCGAGUUUAUAUUAACCGCUUGUCUAAGUCCGCUCGUCGGACGGAGGCACAGGGAAACCAAGUCUUAAUAGGGCGAAAUAAUAGCGGUUGGUGUUAGACCCGAAACCAGGCGAGCUUACCUUGGUCAGGGUGAAGUCCGAGUAAAAUCGGAUGGAGGCCCGAACCGGUUGAUUGUGCAAAAUCUUCGGAUGAACUGAGGUAAGGAGUGAAAAGCUAAUCGAGCUUGGUAAUAGCUGGUUCUCUCCGAAAUAGUUUUUGGACUAGCGUUUCGUUAUAGCUUCUUGCAGGUAGAGCAACUGGUUGAAGUGGAUUGGGCGCAAGCUCGCCUCUUCAGUCAAACUCCAAAUGGCAGGAAGUGUUCCGAAGCAGUUAGACUACGGGGGCUAAGCUCCGUGGUCGAAAGGGAAACAGCCCAGACCGUCAUCUAAGGUCCCUAAGUUCUUACUAAGUGUGAAAGGUAGUCUUUAUCCUAAAACAGAUAGAAGGUUGGCUUAGAGGUAGCCAUCCUUUAAAGAGUGUGUAACAACCCACUAUUCGAGGAUAUUGGCGCCGAAAAUUUACCGGGGCUCAAGUAAGACACCGAAGAUACGGAUACCGUGCUUUGCACGGAAAUCCUAAAUCCAAAAUCCUAAACUCUAAACUGACUGCGAAGCAGUCAUCCUGAGGGCGAAGCCCGAAGGAACUCAAGGGGUUCCUUCAUCCGCCAGUCGGCGGAUUCAGGACGACCUUCGGUCGGUUUAGAAUUUAGAGAUUAGAGUUUAGAGUUUCCGCGCAGAGCGCGGUGUGGUAGGAGAGCAUUCCUAUUGCAGUGAAGGUCGACCCGUGAGGGCGACUGGAGCGAUGGGAAGAGAGAAUGCUGGCAUGAGUAAUCGCAAAAUCGGUGAAAAACCGGUUCCCCGUAAAUCUAAGGUUUCCUCCGCAACGGAAAUCGACGGAGGGUUAGGCGGUCCUAAGGCGAUGGCGAAAGCCGCGGCCGAUGGACAACUGGUCAAUAUUCCAGUCCCUCCAUAUUCUUUGUCCGAUGGGGUGACGGAACGCAAUAGGUUUGGCAUCUUAAUGGUUUGGUGUCCUUUAUCGAGGGUGGGGCGUUGGCAAAUCCGCGUCCCUGCGUUUAAUCGCGAACCCCAGAGAAAAGGCAAGUGGAAGGUUUUCCUUCCGCGAGUGAACCGAGCGCGUUUCCAGGAAAAACCUCUAAGGCCGAAUAUGGAGUCCGUACCGUAAACCGACACAGGUGGAUGAGGCGAGAAGCCUCAGGGGAACGAGUGAGUCCUCGUUAAGGAACUCGGCAAAAAAGCGACCGUAACUUAGGGAUAAGGUCUCCCUGACCGUGCCUCACUGCGUUCGGCACGGAAAUCCUAAAUCCAAAAUCCUAAACUCUAAACAAACUCAAAUAUCAAAAUCCGAAAUUCAAAACAUUUGGAAUUUGGAACAUUUGAAUUUUGAAUUUGUUUAGGAUUUAGAGAUUAGAGUUUAGAGUUUCCGCCCGAGCAUAGCGAGGUGCGGUUAGGGUGCAACAAAAGUCUCUCUGGCGACUGUUUAACAAAAACACAGCUCCCUGCGAACUCGUAAGAGGAUGUAUAGGGGGUGACGCCUGACCGAUGCGAGAAGGUUAACGGUGGGGGUUGCGCCGCAAGGCGCAGCUCACUGCCCGAAGCCCUCGUCAAUGUCCGCGGUAACUAUAACCGUGUUAAAGUAGCGCAUUUCCUUUCCGGGUAAGUUCCGGAGCGCACGAAAGGCGUAACGACUGGAGAACUGUCUCAACGAGGAGCUCGAUGAAAAUGCGAUUCCCGUGAAGACGCGGGAUACCGGCAGCAAGACGAAAAGACCCCGGAAGCUUUACUGUAGCUUGAUAUUGGCACUAAUGUGUGCAUGCGUAGCAUAGUGGGGAGGCUUUGAAACUCUACUUCCGGGUAGAGCGGAGCCAACAGUGAAAUACCCAUCUUGUAUGUGUUAGUGUCUAACCUGUCCCGCAAAACGGGAUGGAGACAGUGUCUGGUGGGCAGUUUAUCUGGGGCGGAUUCCUCAUAAAGAGUAACUGAGGAGUCUAUUAAGGUCGGCUUAGCCCGGAUGGAAAUCGGGCUGGACGUGUAAAGGCACAAGCCGGCUUAACUGCAAGACCUACAAGUCGAGCAGGUGCGAAAGCAGAGCUUAGCGACCCGACGAAUCUACAUAGGAAGGUCGGAGACAACGGCUAAAAGCUACUCCGGGGAUAACAGGCUGGUCUGGUCCGAGAGUCCAUAUCGACGACCAGGCUCGGCACCUCGAUGUCGGCUCACCACAUCCCGGGGGUGGAGAAGCUCCCAAGGGUUUGGCUGUUCGCCAAUUAAAGUGGUACGCGAGCUGGGUUCAGACCGUUUAGCAAUGAAUGGUCUUAUACUCAAGAGAAAAAAAUAAUAUAGAAAAAUAGAAAAUAUGUGUGAUCAUUGACUGUUAAACAGUCUGAAUCACUACAAUUGAGGGUAUUUUCGUCUUUGCAAAAGUAUAGAUAGGUCAAUCAACCACGGCGGUCUAUUACAGUAAUGUAAUAUGAAGAAGUCGAUUUAUAUCGGCAAAACCCAUUCAAUUGGGCAAUGUCGAGGGAACCCCGCUUCGGCGGGGACCCGUAGAGACUAAACAUCGACCUUCCUUGCAAAAAGGAAGAAGCCAUAGUCCAAUGCAACGAGUAAUCGUUGAUACCAUGCGUGAGACAGGUUGGUCUCUAUCUGCUGUCGGCGUGGAUGCCUGAAGGAAGCUGACCCUAGUACGAGAGGACCGGGUUGGACGAACCUCUGGUCUACCAGCUUUGGUACCAACUGAAUUGCUGGGUAGCUAAGUUCGGAAGGGAUAAGCGCUGAAAGCAUCUAAGCGCGAAGCCCAACCUAAGAUUAGGCAUCAGUCCGCUUCGGCGGACGAGGAUUCCUGGAAGACUACCAGGUUGAUAGGCUCUAGAUGAAAGUCCGGUAACGGAUUCAGUCGAGGAGUACUAAUAAUCCUAUUUUGCUCUUAU